GCUACUUGCUGACGACCGGCGCACGGGUGCGUAACGCGUAUAGAACCUACCUUAUAGAAGGGAAUAGCCCAGAGAAAUUUGGAUUAAUGCCCUAUAGUAUUAUUGAUUGGCAUCGAUUAAUAAUUAAAGAUUUAUCGCUAUAAGAUGGCUAUGCGUUCUAUUAGCUAGUUGGUAUGGUAACGGCAUACCAAGGCAACGAUAGAUAGGGGUCCUGAGAGGGAGAUCCCCCACACUGGUACUGAGACACGGACCAGACUCCUACGGGAGGCAGCAGUGAGGAAUAUUGGACAAUGGAGGCAACUCUGAUCCAGCCAUGCCGCGUGCAGGAAGACUGCCCUAUGGGUUGUAAACUGCUUUUAUAGAGGAAGAACCAGUGCUACGUGUAGCACCAUGACGGUACUCUACGAAUAAGGAUCGGCUAACUCCGUGCCAGCUGCG
Molecule: ribosomal RNA, 438 nt
Filed under: Aquimarina intermedia
Lineage: Bacteria; Pseudomonadati; Bacteroidota; Flavobacteriia; Flavobacteriales; Flavobacteriaceae
Description: bacterial SSU rRNA
Rfam family: Bacterial small subunit ribosomal RNA
Source: RNAcentral